This 60-nucleotide microRNA precursor is filed under the name Blattella germanica (German cockroach). RNAcentral's name for it is "Bge-Novel-24_pre stem-loop". Lineage: Eukaryota; Metazoa; Arthropoda; Insecta; Blattodea; Blattellidae. The record is from RNAcentral.
AAGGGGAAGUGGUGCGUUAGAUUUGCUUUAAAUUAUGUCAUAGGCGCUAUUUCCUCUGCC